Molecule: ribosomal RNA, 189 nt
Filed under: uncultured bacterium
Lineage: Bacteria
Description: partial 16S ribosomal RNA
Rfam family: Bacterial small subunit ribosomal RNA
Source: RNAcentral
CCUACGGGAGGCAGCAGUGAGGAAUAUUGGACAAUGGAGGAGACUCUGAUCCAGCCAAACCGCGUGAAGGAUGAAGGUUCUAUGAAUCGUAAACUUCUUUUUUGCAAGAAUAAUUAACGGUAUGUAUACUGUUUUGAAUGUAUUGUAAGAAUAAGCACCGGCUAACUCCGUGCCAGCAGCCGCGGUAAU